This 72-nucleotide transfer RNA is filed under the name Sphaerodactylus townsendi. RNAcentral's name for it is "tRNA-Ala". It matches the Rfam family "tRNA". From Rfam's summary of the family: Transfer RNA (tRNA) molecules are approximately 80 nucleotides in length. Their secondary structure includes four short double-helical elements and three loops (D, anti-codon, and T loops). Lineage: Eukaryota; Metazoa; Chordata; Lepidosauria; Squamata; Sphaerodactylidae. The record is from RNAcentral.
GGGGCUGUGACUCAGCAGCAGAGAAUCUGCUUUGCGUGCAGGAGGCCCUGGGUUCAAUCCUUAGCAUCUCCA